UACGAAGGGGGCUAGCGUUGCUCGGAAUCACUGGGCGUAAAGGGUGCGUAGGCGGGUCUUUAAGUCAGGGGUGAAAUCCUGGAGCUCAACUCCAGAACUGCCUUUGAUACUGAAGAUCUUGAGUUCGGGAGAGGUGAGUGGAACUGCGAGUGUAGCGGUGAAAUGCGUAGACAUCUGGAGGAACAUCGGUGGCGAAGGCGGCAUCCUGGACCGGCAUUGACGCUGAGGAGCGAAAGCCAGGGGAGCAAACGGG
This 253-nucleotide ribosomal RNA is filed under the name uncultured bacterium. Its description in RNAcentral is "partial 16S ribosomal RNA". It matches the Rfam family "Bacterial small subunit ribosomal RNA", at positions 524 to 776 of the family's 1533-position model. The record is from RNAcentral.